AGAGUGAACGCUGGCGGUAGGCCUAACACAUGCAAGUCGAACGGCAGCACAGUAGGAGCUUGCUCUUACGGGUGGCGAGUGGCGGACGGGUGAGGAAUACAUCGGAAUCUACCUUUUGGUGGGGGAUAACGUAGGGAAACUUACGCUAAUACCGCAUACGCCCUUCGGGGGAAAGCCGGGGACCAGCAAUGGCCUGGUGCUGAUAGAUGAGCCGAUGUCGGAUUAGCUAGUUGGUGAGGUAAUGGCUCACCAAGGCGACGAUCCGUAGCUGGUCUGAGAGGAUGAUCAGCCACACUGGAACUGAGACACGGUCCAGACUCCGUACGGGAGCAGCAGGUGGGGAA
This 344-nucleotide ribosomal RNA is filed under the name uncultured soil bacterium. Its description in RNAcentral is "bacterial SSU rRNA". It matches the Rfam family "Bacterial small subunit ribosomal RNA", at positions 26 to 361 of the family's 1533-position model. The record is from RNAcentral.